This 707-nucleotide long non-coding RNA is filed under the name Homo sapiens (human). RNAcentral's name for it is "HSALNT0314557". Lineage: Eukaryota; Metazoa; Chordata; Mammalia; Primates; Hominidae. The record is from RNAcentral.
GAAAGGAGGGGCUUAGCGGUCGCGGUCUGGUUGGAGCGGCGCCGGGGACCGUGUCCAGCAGCUGCGCUGGCCUCACAGUGCGUCUGGUUUACCCCAGUUGCUUUGGAGGGGCCUGGGGUAGGGGGUCCAGGAACCCCCGGGACCCCGGCAGCGCCACCAGUGCCCGGUCGGCGUCUGGGUCUGGCUUCUCCGCGUGACUCCCACGCUCUCCUCUCCUCACUCACGGGGCGUUCCUGGCGUCUGCGCUUUUCCUCCCACUCCCGGCCGUCCACUCUCAACUCCCUCCUCCCUCCGCCCCGCCCGCCUGGCGCGGAGAGUUCGCUCCGAGACCUGGGCGAGGGGUUGGCGCGGGAUCCGAAGCCCAGGAGGGCCUUGGGGGUGGCGGCCUCGUCCGGUUGCUGGGGAUGUGCCCCCACACCCAAGCGUCACUCUUCCCCCUCUUCCCGGAAGGCCUUUCGAGGGUUGCCUGGCAAGCCUGCUCUCGCCGCCCUGUAGCCGUAGAACACAUUUCUGGAAGAUGAAGAAAAACCUGCUUCUCUGUGAGAAACUGGAGACAACCUGGUGUCCAUCAAAUCAGCUAGGACUCAGCAAACGAGGAUGAGCGGACACAGCAAGCCACAAGCUGAUUAUGCACAACACUGAUGCUUACAUAACAAGAACAAAAACACACAAAACAAUACUAAGUAUUUUCUACUAGGACAUGUGUA